This 440-nucleotide ribosomal RNA is filed under the name uncultured bacterium. Its description in RNAcentral is "partial 16S ribosomal RNA". It matches the Rfam family "Bacterial small subunit ribosomal RNA", at positions 338 to 795 of the family's 1533-position model. The record is from RNAcentral.
CCUACGGGUGGCAGCAGUGGGGGAUAUUGCACAAUGGGCGAAAGCCUGAUGCAGCGACGCCGCGUGAGGGAAGACGGUCUUCGGAUUGUAAACCUCUGUCUUUGGGGAAGAAAUCAGACGGUACCCAAAGAGGAAGCUCCGGCUAACUACGUGCCAGCAGCCGCGGUAAUACGUAGGGAGCGAGCGUUGUCCGGAAUUACUGGGUGUAAAGGGUGCGUAGGCGGAUUUUUAAGUCAGCGGUAAAAUGUCCGGGCUCAACCCGGGCCGGCCGUUGAAACUGGGGAUCUUGAGUGGGCGAGAAGUAUGCGGAAUGCGUGGUGUAGCGGUGAAAUGCAUAGAUAUCACGCAGAACUCCGAUUGCGAAGGCAGCAUACCGGCGCCCGACUGACGGUGAGGCACGAAAGCGUGGGGAUCGAACAGGAUUAGAUACCCCAGUAGUC